AUUGAACGCUGGCGGAAUGCUUUACACAUGCAAGUCGAACGGUAGAGGGGGCAACCCCUUGAGAGUGGCGAACGGGUGAGUAAUAUAUCGGAACGUGCCCAGUCGUGGGGGAUAACGUAGUGAAAAUUACGCUAAUACCGCAUACGAUCUAAGGAUGAAAGCGGGGGAUCGCAAGACCUCGCGCGACUGGAGCGGCCGAUAUCAGAUUAGGUAGUUGGUAGGGUAAAGGCCUACCAAGGCUACGAUCUGUAGCGGGUCUGAGAGGAUGAUCCGCCACACUGGAACUGAGACACGGUCCAGACUCCUACGGGAGGCAGCAGUGGGGAAUUUUGGACAAUGGGGGCAACCCUGAUCCAGCCAUGCCGCGUGAGUGAAGAAGGCCUUCGGGUUGUAAGCUCUUUCGGCCGGGAAGAAAUCGCAUAAGGCUAAUACCCUGUGUGGAUGACGGUACCGGAAUAAGAAGCACCGGCUAACUACGUG
RNAcentral lists this ribosomal RNA (480 nucleotides) under uncultured bacterium. RNAcentral describes it as "bacterial SSU rRNA". It matches the Rfam family "Bacterial small subunit ribosomal RNA", at positions 30 to 507 of the family's 1533-position model. The record is from RNAcentral.